GACGAACGCUGGCGGCGUGCUUAACACAUGCAAGUCGAACGGAAAGGCCCUGCUUUUGUGGGGUGCUCGAGUGGCGAACGGGUGAGUAACACGUGAGCAACCUGCCCUUGACUUUGGGAUAACUUCAGGAAACUGGGGCUAAUACCGGAUAGGAGCUCCUCCUGCAUGGUGGGGGUUGGAUAGUUUCGGCGGUUGGGGAUGGACUCGCGGCUUAUCAGCUUGUUGGUGGGGUGGGGGCUUACCAAGGCAUUGGCGGGUAGCCGGCCUGAGAGGGUGACCGGCCACCUGGGUACUGAGGUAGGCCCCAGAGUCGAACGGGAGGCAGCGGGGGGGAACAUGGCCCAAUGGGCGGAGGCCUGAGCAGACAGCGCGCGGGUCGGGAUGACGGCUUGCGGGUUGAAAACCGCUUCAGCUUGUAACGAGGCGUGUGUGACGGUACCGGGAGAAGAAGCACCGGCUAACUACGUG
RNAcentral lists this ribosomal RNA (468 nucleotides) under uncultured bacterium. Its description in RNAcentral is "partial 16S ribosomal RNA". It matches the Rfam family "Bacterial small subunit ribosomal RNA", at positions 28 to 507 of the family's 1533-position model. The record is from RNAcentral.